GCGGAUUUCGGCAUCCGCAGCGAUCAAUUGGUCGGCAAGUCGGAAACUUUAGAGUAAGAUGCCGACUUACAAGAUCAGGGGAAUCGAUGUCGAUUUCCCGUUUGAAGCUUAUGAUUGCCAGCUUGUUUACAUGGAGAAAGUUAUUCAAUCCCUUCAAGAAAAACGUAAUGCGCUGUUGGAGAGUCCUACUGGAACAGGAAAGACUUUGUGUCUUCUUUGUGCUACAUUGGCUUGGAGGAAAAGUUUGGGUCCAUUCUCUUCUGGCAGAAGUAAAAAAGUAGGCCAUGAUGAUGACCCAUCAUCACAAUCUGAUUCUGGUCUUCCUACAAUAGUAUAUACAUCACGUACUCACAGUCAGCUUCAUCAAGUAAUUCAAGAAUUGAAGUGUUCAAGUUACAGGCCAAAGAUGGUAGUGUUGGGAUCACGCGAGCAGUUGUGCAUUCAUGAACAAGUGAGCUUACUGCGAGGAAAAGCUCAGACAAAUGCUUGCCAUUUGCUAUGUAGGAGGCGCCUUAAGCGUUUCUGUUCACAUUUUUCACGUGUCACAGAUUUUAUUAAGGAAAACCCUGGCCUUGGCGAUGAGCCUGUUGACAUAGAGGAUCUGGUUAAUAUUGGAAAAAGCUGUGGGCCAUGCCCAUAUUAUGUAUCUCGGGAACUGCACAAGGGUGCUGACAUCUUGUUUGCACCAUAUAACUAUCUCAUUGACCGGGGAAACAGAAAGACUAUUAGUGUUAACUGGAACAACAGCAUACUGAUAUUCGAUGAAGCUCACAACUUGGAAAGCUUGUGUGCAGAUGCAGCAUCUUUUGAACUUCCAUCUACUCUUCUGACUGCUUGCAUUUCGGAAGCAAAAAGUUGCAUGGACCUUUCUACUAAAAGGAGGGACAUAUCAAAUGAUAAAUCGUGUGAUCCUGAAAACUUUGCUAUUCUCAAAGCCCUUCUUUUAAAGCUUGAGAAGCGGAUUUCUGAAGUACCUAUUGUCUCCAAAGAAUUUGGUUUUACAAAGCCUGGGCCAUAUAUUUAUGAGUUUCUUGAUGACCUAAACAUUACAGAAACGACUGCCAAUAAGGUCAUUGACAUCAUAGAAGAAGCUGCUCUUCUUCUUGAGGAAGAAGCAGGUUCCAGUAAUAAUGGAGCGCCACAAAAGAUAAAGGGGAUUACAUGCAGAUUGGAAAGUAUGGGUGACAUUCUUAGGAUAAUUUUCAGGGACCAGGGCACCUCUCAUGCUCAGUAUUAUCGUGUUCAUGUUCGGGAAGUUGAGUCGAGUGCUACAUCUACUUUUGUAGGUAAGACCUCUAGAACGCUUAGCUGGUGGUGUUUCAAUCCUGGAAUUGCUAUGGAGGAAUUUGCCAAACUUGGUGUUGGAUCUAUUAUUUUGACAUCGGGCACAUUGUCUCCCAUGGAUUCCUUCGCUCAGGAGUUUAAGCUUGAAUUUCCUAUUCGUUUGGAAAAUCCUCAUGUUAUAUCUUCCAAUCAGUUAUGGGCUGGAGUAGUAUCAACAGGUCCUUCUGGGUACCCAUUCAACUCAUCAUACCGAUGUCGUGAUUCCAUAGAGUACAAGCAGGAGCUUGGAAAUGCCAUUGUGAAUUUUGCUCGAAUUGUGCCAGAUGGUUUGCUUGUAUUUUUCCCCUCAUACUAUCUAAUGGACCAGUGUAUUGGAUAUUGGAAGAGUAUGGAGAACAAAAGCUCUACUAAUUCAACCACUAUCUGGGAAAGAAUAUGCCAUCAUAAGCAGGCUGUUGUUGAACCUAGAGAAUCAUCACUUUUUCCUUCAUCAAUGGCUGACUACAGGGAUAAGUUGAAGGACAGAACUUCUGGUGCAGUAUUCUUUGCAGUUUGCCGUGGCAAGGUAAGUGAAGGAUUAGAUUUUGCAGAUCAUGCCGGGAGAGCUGUGGUUGUUACUGGUAUGCCAUUUGCCACAAGGACUGACCCAAAGGUUCGCCUAAAAAGAGAGUACUUGGACAGAUAUGAAAGGCCACAAGAAAUAGGAUGCAAGGGUUUGACAGGAGAAGAGUGGUACAAUCAACAAGCUGCACGUGCAGUAAAUCAAGCUGUUGGUCGUGUCAUUCGUCAUCGGCAUGAUUAUGGUGCCAUUAUAUUUUGUGAUGAAAGAUUUGCACAUCCAAGUCGUCAAUCCCAGAUCUCAUUGUGGAUACAGCCCAAUGUGAAGUGUCACGCCAAAUUUGGAGAUGUAGUCUUUACACUGACAAGGUUCUUCCGUGAUAAAGGAGGAAAACAUAACUCUACGAAGUUGGAGCUAGCACAAAUUAAAGACCAAGGAACACCAAAAAGAUUACAGUCUAGCCAACCCAAUGACCUCCAUCUAGCAAGCCUUCUUGCCCCCCUGACAGCACAAUUAGAUCCAAACACCUCAACUAAGCUAUCAUCUGGAUGUGAUGCCAAAAAACGAAGCAGCUUUGCUCGCCUGGCAGAUGUCCUUCCUGCUAACCGCUCAUCUCUGACUUCCAAUAGCCAUAAGAAGAAGCUCUCCGUGAAAGCUUCAAGCGAUUUGUUAGCUUGUGGGUUGAAAAGCACCCAGAGUAUGGACUCUAACAUAAUCGAUUUAGCCAGUGAUUCUUCCAUUUAUGAGGAAAGAAGUCAAGAAAUAAUAGGUGCUUCAUUUUCUUCGAAGAAGCUUAAAUUAGAAUCUGAUCCAGCAAUGAAUUGUAAUGAUGUUAUGAAUGCAAAUAAGAGGAUUGAUGUCCGUUCUACUUCUGGCCCUUCAUGUCAAGAGGAUGGAAAGGGAUCCACUUUCCUUGCACAGGUGCAAGCAAAGCUUAAUGGCGAUGAAUACAAAGAUUUUGUGGAUUCCAUGAAGGCACUGAAGUCUAAAACAAUGAACAUUAGCACGGUUUUGCAGUCCAUUGCAACAUUAUUCUCUCAUCCUGAUCGGCUUCCUCUUCUUCGAAGAUUCAAAGAUUUUAUACCUUCAAAGUAUCAUGCCUUGUACGAAGAGAUAUUAAGUCAAACCAAGGUGGUUAGUUUAUAACAAGUGAGACAGUUGGUUUUCGAAGAAAAAAAAUGGUUAGUCGAGGAUAACCGGCUGUAAGAGUUAUUUUGUAAGCUGAUUUGUCGAAAGAUCUAAUACUGAAGCUGAUUUGUCGGAAGGAUCCAACCCUAUGAGGCAAGAUUCUUUAUUCUAUAGGUUAUUGGGAAACCCCAAAAUAAGUCAAUUCUUCUAAAAAAACAUGCAUUAUUGUUAUAUCUGAUAAUUUAGAAUUCAUGAAUAAUAGAUCUUGUAUAAAUUAUAUUUUAUAUACAUCUUUCUUUAAAUUCAC
This is an RNA transcript of Impatiens glandulifera, 3278 nucleotides long. It is a transcript of the gene named regulator of telomere elongation helicase 1 homolog, with no coding region annotated. The record is from RefSeq and is a predicted model, not a curated record. NCBI's taxonomy places the organism in Eukaryota, Viridiplantae, Streptophyta, Magnoliopsida, Ericales, Balsaminaceae. The transcript is spliced from 25 exons.